AAAUUGAAGAGUUUGAUCAUGGCUCAGAUUGAACGCUGGCGGCAGGCCUAACACAUGCAAGUCGAACGGUAACAGGAAACAGCUUGCUGUUUCGCUGACGAGUGGCGGACGGGUGAGUAAUGUCUGGGAAACUGCCUGAUGGAGGGGGAUAACUACUGGAAACGGUAGCUAAUACCGCAUAACGUCGCAAGACCAAAGAGGGGGACCUUCUGGCCUCUUGCCAUCGGAUGUGCCCAGAUGGGAUUAGCUAGUAGGUGGGGUAACGGCUCACCUAGGCGACGAUCCCUAGCUGGUCUGAGAGGAUGAACAGUCACACUGGAACUGAGACACGGUCCAGACUCCUACGGGAGGCAGCAGUGGGGAAUAUUGCACAAUGGGCGCAAGCCUGAUGCAGCCAUGCCGCGUGUAUGAAGAAGGCCUUCGGGUUGUAAAGUACUUUCAGCGGGGAGGAAGGGAGUAAAGUUAAUACCUUUGCUCAUUGACGUUACCCGCAGAAGAAGCACCGGCUAACUCCGUGCCAGCAGCCGCGGUAAUACGGAGGGUGCAAGCGUUAAUCGGAAUUACUGGGCGUAAAGCGCACGCAGGCGGUUUGUUAAGUCAGAUGUGAAAUCCCCGGGCUCAACCUGGGAACUGCAUCUGAUACUGGCAAGCUUGAGUCUCGUAGAGGGGGGUAGAAUUCCAGGUGUAGCGGUGAAAUGCGUAGAGAUCUGGAGGAAUACCGGUGGCGAAGGCGGCCCCCUGGACGAAGACUGACGCUCAGGUG
Molecule: ribosomal RNA, 763 nt
Filed under: Shigella flexneri
Lineage: Bacteria; Pseudomonadati; Pseudomonadota; Gammaproteobacteria; Enterobacterales; Enterobacteriaceae
Description: bacterial SSU rRNA
Rfam family: Bacterial small subunit ribosomal RNA
Source: RNAcentral